CAUGUACUCCCUCCGUUCGGAAAUACUUGUCGGAAAAAUAGACGUUUCUAGAUGUAUUUUAGUUCUAGAUACAUCCAUUUUUAUGCAUUUCUGCCAUAAGUAUUUCCGGACGGAGGGAUUACUUU
This is a non-coding RNA of Triticum aestivum (bread wheat), 125 nucleotides long. NCBI's taxonomy places the organism in Eukaryota, Viridiplantae, Streptophyta, Magnoliopsida, Poales, Poaceae. The record is from Rfam.